CCUACGGGUGGCUGCAGUGGGGAAUAUUGGACAAUGGGGGGAACCCUGAUCCAGCCAUGCCGCGUGUGUGAAGAAGGCCCUCGGGUUGUAAAGCACUUUCAGUGAGGAAGAACGCCUGGUGGUUAAUACCCAUCAGGAAAGACAUCACUCACAGAAGAAGCACCGGCUAACUCCGUGCCAGCAGCCGCGGUAAUACGGAGGGUGCGAGCGUUAAUCGGAAUUACUGGGCGUAAAGCGCGCGUAGGUGGCUUGAUAAGCCGGUUGUGAAAGCCCCGGGCUCAACCUGGGAACGGCAUCCGGAACUGUCAAGCUAGAGUGCAGGAGAGGAAGGUAGAAUUCCCGGUGUAGCGGUGAAAUGCGUAGAGAUCGGGAGGAAUACCAGUGGCGAAGGCGGCCUUCUGGACUGACACUGACACUGAGGUGCGAUAGCGUGGGUAGCAAACAGGAUUAGAUACCCUGGUAGUC
Molecule: ribosomal RNA, 465 nt
Filed under: Vreelandella stevensii
Lineage: Bacteria; Pseudomonadati; Pseudomonadota; Gammaproteobacteria; Oceanospirillales; Halomonadaceae
Description: partial 16S ribosomal RNA
Rfam family: Bacterial small subunit ribosomal RNA
Source: RNAcentral